GCUGGGCGUGGUGGCUCACGCCUGUAAUCCCAGCACUUUGGGAGGCUGAGACGGGUGGAUCACCUGAGAUUAGGAGUUUGAGACCAGCCUGACCAAUAUGGCGAAACCCUGUCUCUACCGAAAAUACAAAAAUUAGGUCAGGCACGGUGGCUCACACCUGUAAUCCCAGCACUUUGUGAGGCUGAGGCAGGUGGAUCAUGAGGUCAGGAGUUCAAUACCAACCUGGUCAAGAUGGUGAAACCCUGUCUCU
This 250-nucleotide small RNA is filed under the name Macaca nemestrina (pig-tailed macaque). Its description in RNAcentral is "Metazoan signal recognition particle RNA (ENSMNEG00000000912.1)". The record is from RNAcentral. Lineage: Eukaryota; Metazoa; Chordata; Mammalia; Primates; Cercopithecidae.